UCGGUCAAAGUUUGCGUUGAGGCUUAGACAAAAUUGUUACUCCUCACGGAGUAGCAAAAACAAUUAGACAGUGAAGCCUGAGAAGGUCUGAGUUGCCGUCAAUUCGAAAUGUUAGUGCACGAGAGUGCAGAGGUGGCUACCAGAAAAAUAAACAAGUAGAGGAAUACAGUAGAAGAAGGGAUUUGAUCGAAACAAAGUAGGUCAAAUCACCAGAUACUUUCCUCUCGCUUGUGUGGAAUGGCUACUUGGCAGAGCAUAUUAAGUACAAUACGCGAAUUUCUUAUCCAGAAAAAUCCAAUUCAGACUACUCUUGACCGA
RNAcentral lists this RNase P RNA (318 nucleotides) under Tetrahymena pyriformis. RNAcentral describes it as "RNase P". It matches the Rfam family "Nuclear RNase P". From Rfam's summary of the family: Ribonuclease P (RNase P) is a ubiquitous endoribonuclease, found in archaea, bacteria and eukarya as well as chloroplasts and mitochondria. Its best characterised activity is the generation of mature 5'-ends of tRNAs by cleaving the 5'-leader elements of precursor-tRNAs. Cellular RNase Ps are ribonucleoproteins. The record is from RNAcentral. Lineage: Eukaryota; Ciliophora; Oligohymenophorea; Hymenostomatida; Tetrahymenidae.